CCAAUAGCGUAUAUUAAAGUUGUUGCAGUUAAAAAGCUCGUAGUUGAAUUUCGGGAUCAAUAUGUUGGUCGUGCCUCGGUACGUACUAGCUUAUUGGUUUCUCCUUUCUGAAGAACCAUGAUGUCAUUUAUUUGGUGUCGUGGGGAAUCAGGACUGUUACUUUGAAAAAAUUAGAGUGUUUAAAGCAGGCUCACGCUUGAAUACAUUAGCAUGGAAUAAUGAAAUAGGACGUUUGAUUCUAUUUUGUUGGUUUUUAGGAUCGACGUAAUGAUUAAUAGGGAUAGUUGGGGGCAUUAGUAUUCAAUUGUCAGAGGUGAAAUUCUUGGAUUUAUUGAAGACUAACUACUGCGAAAGCAUUUGCCAAGGAUGUUUUCAUUAAUCAAGAACGAAAGUUAGGGGAUCGAAGACGAUCAGAUACCGUCGUAGUCUUAACCAUAAACUAUGCCGACUAGGGAUCGGAUGAUGUUAAUUUUUUAAUGACUCAUUCGGCGCCUUACA
RNAcentral lists this ribosomal RNA (498 nucleotides) under uncultured Glomeromycotina. RNAcentral describes it as "partial small subunit ribosomal RNA". It matches the Rfam family "Eukaryotic small subunit ribosomal RNA", at positions 591 to 1092 of the family's 1831-position model. The record is from RNAcentral. Lineage: Eukaryota; Fungi; Glomeromycota.